GGCUGAGUUAGAGGGACGGAAAGAAAGCAGAGGGUCAAGGCUGGAGAGAAAAAAAAAACAGAGCAAACAAAAAAAAAGAGACAAAGGGUGGCGGCUGGAAUCUGGGGGAAGAUUGCGGAAAAGAACACAGAAAAAGGAAAGGGAAAAGCUACGGCUGAAGGAGCAAGGCUUCGGACAGAAAUGAAAAGCUAAGGAAAGGGCCAGAGGAAAAAGCUUCAGGCGGCUGGGAAGCAAAAGGAAAACAGAGGCGGACGGACAAAGGAAAUGAAACGACGGGAGCAAGGAGAGGAACUACCACCGCUCAUGCUGCCACCACUUCAUUGAACCCGCCAUCAUCAUCUGCGAAUUUUCAUCAAGCAAGAGUUUUGUAAGCUGUCUUUUCCCUUCAAAUUUCAGUCUUUUCUUUUAAGCAUGGACGCUGGAAACUCUCUGGUUUUUUUAUCACAAUUUCUUGGCAGACUGCCUAUGUUUCUUCAUUGCAAUUUCUUGGUGAAAGAUUGCUGCUUUGUUUGCUGAUUGGGUUGAAAUUUCUGUUUUUUUUUCUGACAAUUUUGGGGUCAACCGUAACUUCAUUUGAGCAAAGAUUUGUUGGAAUUUUACAUGCCCAUUCCCUAUUUGUUAAAAUGCCCAAGUGAAACUCCUACCUGAAGGAUGAUUGAAUCUUUGUUGCUGUUAAAUUUUGUUGUUGUCGCGUGAGAUUGCUAAAUAUCAAAGUAUCAAAUAAGCCUCAGAAAUUUGCUAAGGUCGCAUGGUUUUCCUUCUGAUCUUUGCGUGAUAACAUCUAAGGUUUUAUGGGGAAAGUAGAAAGCAUGUUUCGUUCAUACCGGAGUGCUUGGUUGCUUGAAGUUUGUACUCUUUUUGGUGUUUGGAUGUCAUGAUGGUGGGCUAUGGGCAUGCUUGCCGUGAAUGUCAUUACGCCUCUGCUGCAAUUUUACGUUCAGUUGCGUUAUAAGGCUGCUAAUGCUUGUAAUGUUUCCUUAAUGCAUAAAGCUCGGGUGUUUUUUGCUGCUCUGUGUUUUGGGUCAUUUUCAUUGCCUUAAUUUAGCCCAUGAAGUGUUUUAUCAUUGGAUUCUGUUAAGAUGAGAGUUGGAAAUUUUGAUUGAAUGAAAAGCUGCAUUUCGUUUCUUAUGUUUUGUUGUUUUUCCUUCUUCCUGCAACAGCCCACAGAGCUGGGUUUCGUCACCUUUGUUUGCAUAUCCAAUCUUGUGUUAAUGAUUGUUAUAGAAGAACGGACCAAGCGUGGGUUUUACUCAGACUUUUGCUAUCUUGCUGGGUUGCUAAAGGAAAUUGCAGAAGAGCAACUUCAGCCCGCCCAAAGUUAUUGCAGAAGCUUGUUUUGAUUGUUUCGUAGUUGUUUUGCAUAAAAUUUUUGCAUGAAAAAAUGUUCCAAAGUUGCAUUCUAACCCCUCAGGUCUCCCCUUGUUCACCAUGGCCCCAAAAUUUGGAAAACUUGAAUUCAUUUUGUCUUUCUUGAGAUUAAUCCUAGGUUGCCUAUUUUAUGUGACUUUUUGUGGAUAAAUUAAUUCUGGGAUUUAGAUCAUGAUUGUGGUUUGAUUAUUUUAGUUGAUUUGCUAAUCUUGUUGGGUUUAGUUUUAUGAUUUGGGUUUUUGGGUAAUAACAUUUGGUUGAGUUUGAAAAGUGGGUUUAAUAUUUGUUUGGGUUUCUUGUUGGGUUUAGGAAGGUUACAAUUCAAAAGUUUUGGUUGGGUUUUAGGAUUGGGCCGUUGUUUAAUUUGGAUUGGGUUUUAAUUGGUAAAAAGUGGGUUGACCCAUUUCAGUCCCUUAGACUUCCGAUUGGGCCAAGUGGUCUUGGCCCAAGAAGAAAUUAGGAAAUGGCCCAAUGGCCUGUUUGAUUAAGAAUCUGGUAACUAGAUUUGUAAAUUAGUCCCUAGAUUUUUCUUUAACUAUACUGUGGCCCUAGAAACUUUCAACUUCUUUCAAUUGGGUCCCAAGUUUAAUUGCAAAUAGGUCCCUAAACUUUAUUUUUCUUUUAUUUUAGACCCCAGAACUUUGUUAUUUUUUGCAAUCAAGUCCUUUCUUCUUUUGACUUCUUAAAUGUGGGUUGUUUAUAUGAUUUAAUUGAUUCGAUUUCACAAUUCACUUUUAUCUUUUAUGAUUAUUUGUUAAUUAAAGUGAUGCCUUGACCUUUUCUUUGUAUUUUGGAGGGUAAAUAAGUAAUUUCACACCAUUGGGGCUCCAAAUCCAGGGAGGUAGACCCUAUCCCUUAUUUCUUACUUUAUUUGACCCUACGUGCCCUAUGUGACUUUACAUGUUUAAUUGCAUGCCCCUUGGAUGUUUAUUUAUUUAAUUCAUUUAUUUAUUUAUUUGCUUUAUUGGCUUUAGCUUUGUAUAUCGAUCAUUUGAAAGGCACUUGAAUGCCAAAUUUGUAAUAGUUAGGUAUUCCUUUAAUUAUUUAUUUAUGUAUUUCCCCCUUUUUAGAUUGUAGUAGGGUUCCUCGAAUGUAAUAGUUAGGGCUUUAUUUGCUUUAUUUGCCUAUGUGUUAUGUGUUACUCGCUUUCCUAGGGUUUUUGCAUCUAGAUAUCAUGCUUACUUGUUAUGUGCUAUAUGUGAUUUAUGUGUUUACAUGCUUUUAGUAGGUCUCACAUGAUUUAUUUGAUUGUAACCGAUGUGUGACGUCACCACACUAAUCCAAUGCUAGUUGUGGUCAAUUUCUCGAAUCCACACUAGUCCAACGCUAGUUGUGGCUCUUUCUUCCGACUUUUCUCACUAGUCCAAUGCUAGUGGGAAAUUGUAGACAUGGGUUAGUCCAACGCUAGACCCUUAGGAGCCCGUCGAGCGUUAGAUCAUGGUUGUGUGACACUUCAUCUCAUGCAUGUUUUCACCUUUAGGGUUUUACCAUGUUGCAUGACAUUUUCUUAUAUAUGUACAUCCUUCCUUAUACGUAUAUCCCUUCCCCCAUAUUUUUCCUUAUAUGUAUAUUACUUACCCCUUUGUAUGAAACACGACAUUAGACUUGCAUUUCAUCUAAGUAUUAGACCUAGGUUAGUACAUUUGCUUGAUUAGAUUAGGAAAAACCCCUUGCAUAUGGGAUAUGGACGAGUUUGGCUUCUCUAGCCUUAGCACGCUCGUAUUCCCUCUAUUAAAGGGAACAUUGAAGUCACGAGUAUAAGUCCCCCGCACCCAUUAUGAUGCAUUCCCUUAGGUCAUACACAUUUGUAUAUUAUUAUUUUCUUUCCUUUUUCUUUUUUUCGAGUCUCAUGACUUGCAUUAUUCGUGACUUCUUCGAAAAUUCUUUAUUGGGCGUCACAAUUAAUGUGAUUGGUACCAAAUAAGCUUUGGAGAUACAUUUCGACCCCUCAAUACCCUCCUAGGUCUAGGGUUUGCAUUCAUAUAGUACAUCCAAAUGUGAUAAAUCAUUAGGUUAAAAUCAGAAAACCUUUGACUAAAUCGCGCAACUAGCCUUGCCUAGGUUGAAAGGG
Molecule: long non-coding RNA, 3439 nt
Filed under: Coffea arabica (coffee)
Lineage: Eukaryota; Viridiplantae; Streptophyta; Magnoliopsida; Gentianales; Rubiaceae
Description: long non-coding RNA (CARA_LNC002298)
Source: RNAcentral